This 406-nucleotide long non-coding RNA is filed under the name Nicotiana benthamiana. RNAcentral's name for it is "long non-coding RNA (NBEN_LNC018277)". The record is from RNAcentral. Lineage: Eukaryota; Viridiplantae; Streptophyta; Magnoliopsida; Solanales; Solanaceae.
AAAGAACACACCGAAUUUAUCCUGCUUCACCACAACUUGUGGUUAGUCCAGUCCCCGAGAGACUCUCUCGAGAUUCCACUAACUCCGUUAAGCUUCCGGGUGCAUAACAAACCGUUACACUUGCUCGUAGAUGUACACACUACAAGACUUUAACUUGCUCGAGGAUACCGAACCUCAAGACUUCAACCUUGCUCGUGGAUACCGCACCACAAGACUUCACACACUAAGACUUAGGUUACUUAGCGAACCCGACAAUCAAUGAGAAGAUAUGUUCUUCUCAAACACCUUUCUCUUUUACAACAAGAACUCUCUCAAAGAGUGGAUAAAGAGAUACAAAUUUAGCUCUAUGAACAACUCAAAGUUGUCUCUCAAAUGGCUCAACAAAAGCUCUAAAAUAAUGCUCAAA